This 341-nucleotide ribosomal RNA is filed under the name uncultured Erysipelothrix sp. RNAcentral describes it as "bacterial SSU rRNA". It matches the Rfam family "Bacterial small subunit ribosomal RNA", at positions 1042 to 1382 of the family's 1533-position model. The record is from RNAcentral. Lineage: Bacteria; Bacillati; Bacillota; Erysipelotrichia; Erysipelotrichales; Erysipelotrichaceae.
UGCAUGGUUGUCGUCAGCUCGUGUCGUGAGAUGUUGGGUUAAGUCCCGCAACGAGCGCAACCCUUGUCUUUAGUUACCAUCAUUAAGUUGGGGGACUCUAGAGAGACUGCCGGUGAUAAACCGGAGGAAGGUGGGGAUGACGUCAAAUCAUCAUGCCCCUUAUGGCCUGGGCUACAAACGUAAUACAAUGGCGUAUACAAAGGGAUGCGAAAGGGCGACCUGGAGCAAAACUCACAAAGUACGUCUCAGUUCAGAUUUGGAGUCUGCAACUCGACUCCAUGAAGGCGGAAUCGCUAGUAAUCGCGGAUCAGCAUGCCGCGGUGAAUACGUUCUCGGGGUUU